RNAcentral lists this small nuclear RNA (320 nucleotides) under Rattus norvegicus (Norway rat). Its description in RNAcentral is "7SK RNA". It matches the Rfam family "7SK RNA". Rfam says of the family: 7SK was discovered as an abundant small nuclear RNA in the mid-70s but a possible function has only recently been suggested. Two independent studies have found that 7SK RNA binds the CDK9/cyclin T complex (known as elongation factor P-TEFb). P-TEFb activates transcription by phosphorylating the C-terminal domain of RNA polymerase II. Lineage: Eukaryota; Metazoa; Chordata; Mammalia; Rodentia; Muridae. The record is from Rfam by way of RNAcentral.
GGAUGUGAGGUUAAUUUAGCUGUAACAUCUGACACCCCAUUGAUCGCUAGGGUUGAUUUGGAUGAUUUGACUGGCUAGGUGGGUGUCCCCUUUCUCCCUCACCACUCCUUGUGCAUCCCUCCCGAAGCUGCAUACUAGGUCGAAGAGUACCUUCCCAGAAUAGAGGAGGACCAGUCUUUGGUCAAGGGUGCAUGAGUAGCUGCACUCCCCUGCUAGACCCUCCAAACAAGUCCACUUCUUCUUUCAAUUCCUCAUUAUAUUUAUGAUUCUAUGUAUCUAUAAAAUCCAGGAUUUAGAAACAAAAUGUGUCUCUAAGACUU